This 1384-nucleotide ribosomal RNA is filed under the name uncultured bacterium. RNAcentral describes it as "bacterial SSU rRNA". It matches the Rfam family "Bacterial small subunit ribosomal RNA". The record is from RNAcentral.
AGAGUUUGAUCCUGGCUCAGGAUGAACGCUGGCGGCGUGCUUAACACAUGCAAGUCGAACGAUGACUUUUGUGCUUGCACAAAAUGAUUAGUGGCGAACGGGUGAGUAACACGUGAGUAACCUGCCCUUAACUUCGGGAUAAGCCUGGGAAACCGGGUCUAAUACCGGAUACGACGGAUCCCCGCAUGGGGGUCCGUGGAAAGCUUGAUGCGGUUUUGGAUGGACUCGCGGCCUAUCAGCUAGUUGGUUGGGGUAAUGGCCCACCACGGCGACGACGGGUAGCCGGCCUGAGAGGGUGACCGGCCACACUGGGACUGAGACACGGCCCAGACUCCUACGGGAGGCAGCAGUGGGGAAUAUUGCACAAUGGGCGAAAGCCUGAUGCAGCGACGCCGCGUGAGGGACGAAGGCCUUCGGGUUGUAAACCUCUUUCAGCAGGGAAGAAGCGAAAGUGACGGUACCUGCAGAAGAAGCGCCGGCUAACUACGUGCCAGCAGCCGCGGUAAUACGUAGGGCGCAAGCGUUAUCCGGAAUUAUUGGGCGUAAAGAGCUCGUAGGCGGUUUGUCGCGUCUGCUGUGAAAGCCCGGGGCUCAACCCCGGGUCUGCAGUGGGUACGGGCAGACUAGAGUGCAGUAGGGGAGACUGGAAUUCCUGGUGUAGCGGUGAAAUGCGCAGAUAUCAGGAGGAACACCGAUGGCGAAGGCAGGUCUCUGGGCUGUAACUGACGCUGAGGAGCGAAAGCAUGGGGAGCGAACAGGAUUAGAUACCCUGGUAGUCCAUGCCGUAAACGUUGGGCACUAGGUGUGGGACCCAUUCCACGGGUUCCGUGCCGCAGCUAACGCAUUAAGUGCCCCGCCUGGGGAGUACGGCCGCAAGGCUAAAACUCAAAGGAAUUGACGGGGGCCCGCACAAGCGGCGGAGCAUGCGGAUUAAUUCGAUGCAACGCGAAGAACCUUACCAAGGCUUGACAUACACCGGAAAAGUGCAGAGAUGUGCUCCCCGUAAGGUCGGUGUACAGGUGGUGCAUGGUUGUCGUCAGCUCGUGUCGUGAGAUGUUGGGUUAAGUCCCGCAACGAGCGCAACCCUUGUCCUGUGUUGCCAGCGGGUUAUGCCGGGGACUCAUAGGAGACUGCCGGGGUCAACUCGGAGGAAGGUGGGGAUGACGUCAAAUCAUCAUGCCCCUUAUGUCUUGGGCUUCACGCAUGCUACAAUGGCCGGUACAAAGGGCUGCGAUACCGCGAGGUGGAGCGAAUCCCAAAAAGCCGGUCUCAGUUCGGAUUGGGGUCUGCAACUCGACCCCAUGAAGUCGGAGUCGCUAGUAAUCGCAGAUCAGCAACGCUGCGGUGAAUACGUUCUCGGGCCUUGCACACACAAGGCGUCAAG